Gorilla gorilla gorilla (western lowland gorilla) is the source of this 2318-nucleotide non-coding RNA. The record is from the annotation of a RefSeq genome assembly. Lineage: Eukaryota; Metazoa; Chordata; Mammalia; Primates; Hominidae.
AGAUCCUCUGCUGUUUUCCCUCCACCUGCUGGUGUUUCUGUGCCCUCCAGAUGGUGUUGCUCCUCCCCCUUCUAUGACCACUUUUCAGCCAUAACCUUGUCUGAGGUCAAAGGAGGGGGUUGUGCAACCUCCAGAAAGGGAGAAAUUUGCAUGGAGCCCUACCACUCUGAGGAUACGCGUGACAGAUAAGAAGGGCUGGUGGGAUCAGUCCUGGUGGUAGCUCAGGAAGCAGAGCCUGGAGCAUCUCCACUAUGGCCUGGGCUCCACUACUUCUCACCCUCCUCGCUCACUGCACAGGUUCUUGGGCCAAUUUUAUGCUGACUCAGCCCCACUCUGUGUCGGAGUCUCCGGGGCAGACGGUAACCAUCUCCUGCACCCGCAGCAGUGGCAGCAUUGCCAGCAACUAUGUGCAGUGGUAUCAGCAGCGCCCGGGCAGUGCCCCCACCACUGUGAUCUAUGAGGAUAACCAAAGACCCUCUGGGGUCCCUGAUCGGUUCUCUGGCUCCAUCGACAGCUCCUCCAACUCUGCCUCCCUCACCAUCUCUGGACUGAAGACUGAGGACGAGGCUGACUACUACUGUCAGUCUUAUGAUAGCAGCAAUCACACAGUGCUCCAGACCCAUGGGGAAGUGAGACAGAAACUCCCCAGAGCAUCUCUACCUGGGCCAGUCUCAGCCUGUCUCCACCGGAGAGGGUAGCUCUCCCAUCUCUCCUGUCUAAGUGCUUGAGGUGAACUUUGCUUAUGACUUCCUCUUUUCCUUUUCAAAAUACCAAUCUGUUUUUCCACACCUUGAUGGCUGAUUUUCUGAUAUGUGCACGAUCAAUUGUGGGAUAAAUGUAGUUUAUAAUCGGGUCUCUGAGCCACACCAUGAUUGAUGUUCUGGUUGGGGCUGCCUUGCACAGUAUAAGAUAUUGACUUGCAUCUCUGGCCUCUACCCUUAGAUACUAUUAACACCCUCCCCUCAUUUGUGACAACAAGACUGUCUUGAGACACUGCCACAUGUCCCAUGCUUGGGGACAAAAUCAGCCCAGGUUGAGAUACUCAGUUAAAGAGCAUGUCUUCAGCUACUAAGAAGCUUGGCUUUGAAAUGUGUUUAUGCCAUUCUGCUGAGCAUGAGGCUGGUUUUCUAAUUUUUGUUUCUGGUUCCCAUCUAUGAGACAAAACAAUAACACCGAACUUCAAUGUUUUCAUGGUUGAAUGGUUUUUCCAAGCAACAAGAAGUGAGAGAUUGUGCUACUUAGAGGUGUAGAAGCCCUAACCAGAUCCUGUAACACAGAGUUUAGCUCUGACUAGGACAGCACACAAUGCCUUCCAUCAAUCUCCAACCCACAGCCCGCAGGCUGCAUGCAGCCCAGAAAGGCUUUGAAUGUGGCCCAACACAAAUUUGUAAACUUUCAUAAAACAUUAUGAUUUUUCUGCAAUUUUCUGUAGCUCACCAGCUAUUGAUACUAACAGUUAGUAUCAGUUUUAUGUGUGAUCCGAGACAAUUCUUCUUCCAUUGUGGCCCAGGGAAAUCAAAAGAUGGGACACCCCUGCUUUGCACUUUUGUACAAUGCACAUGGAAAUAUAAUAGAGCCUUCUUCCAUCUAAGGUCAUGUGACUCAGCCAUUGAAAGGUGGAAGUGCUGAAAUGAGCUCCAUAUGAACGGACCUUGAAAAAUUAUGCUCAGUGAAAGGAACAAAUGCAAAUAUCUAGAAAUGAAAUGUCUAGAAAUGACUGUAUUUAUAACAAAUGUCCAUGAUAGGUAAAUUCAUGGAGGCUGAAAAGAUCGAGAUUAUCCUCAAACCUUGUGAUAAUUUAGGUGAAAAGGAUGAUUUCAGAAUUGGAUAGAAAGUGAUCUACUUCAAAAAUAAGCUGGAAAUGCCUCCAUGAACAGAGGCGAUGCUUUGCGGAAUCCUAGGUAGAGAAGUGUAUCAGGUGCAGAUGAGGUCUUUAAGAAUACUUCUUGUUUUGUUUUGUAAAAUUAAAUAUGAAUAAGAACACUGUGGGCCAGGCGCGGUGGCUCACGCCUGUAAUCCCAGCACUUUGGGAGGCUGAGGCCGGUGGAUCACGAGAUCAGGAGAUUGAGACCAUCCUGGCUAACACAGUGAAAUCCUGUCUCUACUAAAAAUACAAAAAAAUUAGCCAGGCGUGGUGGCGGGCACCUGUAGUCCCAGCUACUCGGGAGGCUGAGGCAGGAGAAUGGCGUGAACCUGGGAGGCGGAGCUUGCAGUGAGCCGAGUUUGCGCCACUGCACUCCAGAGCCUGGCUGACAGAGCGAGACUCCGUCUCAAAAAACAAAACAAAACAAAAAAACACUGUGCUUGCUUGCUUACCU